AUCCAGCUGAAGAGUCCCAAAUCGAACGGAACGCAAGUCCUGGAU
Schistosoma mattheei is the source of this 45-nucleotide non-coding RNA. The record is from Rfam. NCBI's taxonomy places the organism in Eukaryota, Metazoa, Platyhelminthes, Trematoda, Strigeidida, Schistosomatidae.